GAUUCGCUAGCUCAGUUGGUAGAGCACAUCCCUUUUAAGGAUGGGGUCCUGGGUUCGAGCCCCAGGCGGAUCACUA
RNAcentral lists this transfer RNA (76 nucleotides) under Petrimonas mucosa. RNAcentral's name for it is "tRNA-Lys". It matches the Rfam family "tRNA". From Rfam's summary of the family: Transfer RNA (tRNA) molecules are approximately 80 nucleotides in length. The record is from RNAcentral. Lineage: Bacteria; Pseudomonadati; Bacteroidota; Bacteroidia; Bacteroidales; Dysgonomonadaceae.